CAACCAUCAAGCCCUCGGGCUUGCGUUGGGGCCCUGCGGCUGCCGCAGGCCCCUAAAAGCAGUGGCGGGCUCGCUGUCACACCGAGCGCAGUAGCAUUUCUUCGCUCUGGGCGCGGCGGCGGGCGCUUGCCGUAAAACACACCACUUUUUUAA
RNAcentral lists this unclassified non-coding RNA (153 nucleotides) under uncultured Podospora. RNAcentral's name for it is "partial internal transcribed spacer 2". Lineage: Eukaryota; Fungi; Ascomycota; Sordariomycetes; Sordariales; Lasiosphaeriaceae. The record is from RNAcentral.